Candoia aspera is the source of this 615-nucleotide non-coding RNA. NCBI's taxonomy places the organism in Eukaryota, Metazoa, Chordata, Lepidosauria, Squamata, Candoiidae. The record is from the annotation of a RefSeq genome assembly.
AUGAUCCUGUGGCUGAAUUUGGUUUCCUUCCUAGCAGUCCUCAGAGGUGUCCUGUCAGAGGCCCAGUUGGUGGAGUCCGGAGGGGACGUGAGGAGGCCUGGAGAGUCCCUCCGCCUCUCCUGCCAAGGCUCUGGUUUCAACUUCGGGGGCUAUUCGAUGAACUGGGUGAGGCAGGCCCCUGGCAAAGGGCUGGAAUGGGUGGCACGCAUAUGGUCCGAUUCCAGUAAGCAGUACUAUGCAGAGUCUGUGAAGGGACGCUUCACCAUCUCCAGGGACAACUCCAAAAGCCAAGUCUAUCUGCAAAUGAACAGCCUGAAGCCGGAGGACUCGGCAGUCUAUUACUGUGAAGAAAAUGGCAAAUCUCAGUACCCUCCUGAAAGAAUCAGGAAUUCAGGCUCUGGGUUCGACUUUGGCAACUCUGGCAUGAACUGGGUGCGACAGGCCCCUGGAAAAGGGCUGGAAUGGGUGGCAUACAUAAGGUCCGAUUCCAGUACUACUUACUACUUGGACAAAGUCAAGGGUCGCUUCACCAUCUCCAGGGACAACUCCAAAAGCCAAGUCUAUCUGCAAAUGAACAGCCUGAAACUGGAGGACUCGGCAGUCUAUUACUGUGUG